UGCGUAACGCGUAUGCAACCUACCAUCAACAGGGGGAUAACACUGAGAAAUUGGUACUAAUACCCCAUAAUAUCUCAUGCGGCAUCGCAUGGGGUUGAAAACUCCGGUGGUUGAUGAUGGGCAUGCGUUGUAUUAGCUGGUUGGUGAGGUAACGGCUCACCAAGGCGACGAUACAUAGGGGGACUGAGAGGUUAACCCCCCCACAUUGGUACUGAGACACGGACCAAACUCCUACGGAAGGCAGCAG
This 247-nucleotide ribosomal RNA is filed under the name uncultured bacterium. Its description in RNAcentral is "partial 16S ribosomal RNA". It matches the Rfam family "Bacterial small subunit ribosomal RNA", at positions 107 to 354 of the family's 1533-position model. The record is from RNAcentral.